AGACUUUCGGAUUAAAAGGGAAUCAGGUGCAAAUCCUGAACAGUCCCGCUGCUGUAAGCUCCAUUCAACCUGCUGGAAAAGACUCAUGCCACUGAUGACUGAACACUAUCGGGAAGGCUCCAGCUGGGGAGUAAGUCAGAAGACCUGCCAUCAUACAU
This 158-nucleotide non-coding RNA is filed under the name Phocaeicola plebeius. Lineage: Bacteria; Pseudomonadati; Bacteroidota; Bacteroidia; Bacteroidales; Bacteroidaceae. The record is from RNAcentral.